Molecule: ribosomal RNA, 253 nt
Filed under: uncultured bacterium
Lineage: Bacteria
Description: partial 16S ribosomal RNA
Rfam family: Bacterial small subunit ribosomal RNA
Source: RNAcentral
UACGUAGGGGGCUAGCGUUGUCCGGAUUUAUUGGGCGUAAAGAGCGUGUAGGCGGCCCGGUAAGUCCGCUGUGAAAGUCGGGGGCUCAACCCUCGAAUGCCGGUGGAUACUGUCGGGCUAGAGUGCGGAAGAGGCGAGUGGAAUUCCUGGUGUAGCGGUGAAAUGCGCAGAUAUCAGGAGGAACACCGAUUGCGAAGGCAGCUCGCUGGGACGUUACUGACGCUGAGGAGCGAAAGCGUGGGGAGCGAACAGG